GGCCCUUGCCCGGCCCUGGAAAAGACUCAGGAUGCAGAGAGUAUUCUGGCAUUGAGUGAGGGGCGGGUUUAGCAUCCUCUCAGCUCAGACCCUGGGAUUCUCAGCUUCUACCCAAACACGGAAUCUCCUACCAGUGGCCACUCCCCCAGGGGUGGAGACCACACUCCUGGAGUGGGCGUGGGCCAGAGAGCAGCCGGCAGCCUGGACGGACUCAGGGCUGGGCUCUGAGCCCUUCCGUCACCGUCACCGGGAGAAAGCUGGAGGUCUCCAGUAUCCUGGGACCCCACUCCCCCACCCUCACAGGCACUGUGCUUCUCAGGGUGCUGAGAACCUUCCCCACGGAUUCUCUUGGGUGAAACUCACAGUGGCCUGGGAAGAAACGCUCAUGGGGAGACUGAGCUAGCUUCACAGAUGGAGUUAAGUGGGGAGAGGGAGGUAAAUGCAAAAGCUCUUUGCAAACCUAACUGCAUUUGGUAAAUUGAAAAAGGGCUUUCUAAACUGUCUGUGGGGCACAUAAUAAAGUUCUUUGUGUGGAGC
Molecule: non-coding RNA, 537 nt
Filed under: Pan troglodytes (chimpanzee)
Lineage: Eukaryota; Metazoa; Chordata; Mammalia; Primates; Hominidae
Source: RNAcentral